Molecule: ribosomal RNA, 376 nt
Filed under: uncultured bacterium
Lineage: Bacteria
Description: bacterial SSU rRNA
Rfam family: Bacterial small subunit ribosomal RNA
Source: RNAcentral
AACGUAGGAGGCAAGCGUUAUCCGGAUUCACUGGGCGUAAAGCGCGUGCAGGCGGUUCGGUAAGUUGGGCGUGAAAUCUCCUGGCUUAACUAGGAGAGGUCGUUCAAUACUACCGGACUUGAGAGUGGUAGAGGAAGAUGGAAUUCCCGGUGUAGUGGUGAAAUGCGUAGAUAUCGGGAGGAACACCAGUGGCGAAAGCGAUCUUCUGGACCAUUUCUGACGCUCAGACGCGAAAGCUAGGGUAGUAAACGGGAUUAGAGACCCCGGUAAUCCUAGCCGUAAACGAUGUAAACUUGGCGUCGGUGGCUUAAACACCAUCGGUGCCGCAGCUAACGCGAUAAGUUUACCGCCUGGGGACUACGAUCGCAAGAUUAAA